RNAcentral lists this ribosomal RNA (229 nucleotides) under uncultured bacterium. Its description in RNAcentral is "partial 16S ribosomal RNA". It matches the Rfam family "Bacterial small subunit ribosomal RNA", at positions 568 to 796 of the family's 1533-position model. The record is from RNAcentral.
UCCGUAGGCGGGCAAUUAAGUCAGGGGUGAAAGUCUGCAGCUCAACUGUAGAAUUGCCCUUGAUACUGGUUGUCUUGAGUCAUUAUGAAGUAGUUAGAAUAUGUAGUGUAGCGGUGAAAUGCAUAGAUAUUACAUAGAAUACCAAUUGCGAAGGCAGAUUACUAAUAAUGUACUGACACUGAUGGACGAAAGCGUGGGGAGCGAACAGGAUUAGAUACCCUGGUAGUCC